RNAcentral lists this unclassified non-coding RNA (305 nucleotides) under Hevea brasiliensis (rubber tree). The record is from RNAcentral. Lineage: Eukaryota; Viridiplantae; Streptophyta; Magnoliopsida; Malpighiales; Euphorbiaceae.
AGAAUAUGCAGAAUUUGGACACCUUCCAAGGAAGAAGUUUACUGAUUUUGCUGCUGUGAGAAAGGAGAUCGCUGACGAGACUGACCGAGAGACAGGCCGUAGCAAACAAAUAUCUAGCGUACCUAUUUAUCUCAGUAUAUAUUCUCCCAAUGUCGUAAACUUGACACUGAUAGAUCUUCCUGGACUUACAAAAGUAGCAGUUGAGGGACAAUCUGAUAGCAUUGUUGCGGAUAUUGAAAACAUGGUUCGCGCUUAUAUUGAGAAGCCGAAUUGCAUUAUUCUUGCUGUUUCUCCUGCCAAUCAAG